Long non-coding RNA from Pseudopipra pipra, 361 nucleotides. RefSeq lists it as uncharacterized. The transcript is spliced from 3 exons. NCBI's taxonomy places the organism in Eukaryota, Metazoa, Chordata, Aves, Passeriformes, Pipridae. The record is from RefSeq and is a predicted model, not a curated record.
AAAAGAUCAACCCAAGUCUCCUUAACUGUGGAUAUAUAAGGAAGGCAUAGACAAGAAUGGGCACAAGCUAUGAACCUUGAUCAUCUGUCCUGAGAAAUUGUUAGAACAGCUCCUGGUAUAUAACUAGGCACAAUCAGGAGCAAGCACAGAGACAAAACACGGUAACAGAUUUGCGUUUUACAAAACUUCAAGGCAGCAGCAGCAAAAGAAUGAGAAUCCAAAAAUACUAAAUUGAAUGGAGAGUACUAAGGAAUGCCACAGACUGACAACAGCUGCAAGUGAUAUAUCCACAUGACAUAUUGUGAAGCUGUCCAAAUAAUCAUCAUCACUGUCGUCAUCUUAAAAUCCCCAUUGUAUACAG